CAGGAUGAACGUUGGCGGCGUGCUUAAUACAUGCNAGUCGAACGAAGACCGUAGUAAUACUGUCUUAGUGGCGAACGGGUGAGUAACGCGUGGGUGACNUGCCCCGAAGUGUGGGAUAACAGUUCGAAAGGACUGNUAAUACCGCAUAAUAUCCAAGAGAUUAGACGCUUUUGGAUUAAAGGAGUAAUUCGCUUCGGGAGGGGCCCGCGUCCCAUCAGCUAGUUGGUAAGGUAAUGGCNUACCAAGGCGAUGACGGGUAGGGGACCUGAGAGGGUGGCCCCCCACAAUGGAACUGAAACACGGUCCAUACNCCUACGGGUGGCAGCAGUAGGGAAUAUUAGUAAUGGGCGAAAGCCUGAACUAGCAACGCCGCGUGUGCGAAGAAGGCCUUCGGGUUGUAAAGCACUUUUUGAGAGGAUGAGGAAGGAC
This 429-nucleotide ribosomal RNA is filed under the name uncultured bacterium. RNAcentral's name for it is "bacterial SSU rRNA". It matches the Rfam family "Bacterial small subunit ribosomal RNA", at positions 25 to 456 of the family's 1533-position model. The record is from RNAcentral.